GCGGAAGUAGUUCAGUGGUAGAAUACAACCUUGCCAAGUUUGGGGUCGCGGGUUCGAAUCCCGUCUUCCGCUCCA
This 75-nucleotide transfer RNA is filed under the name Bacillus anthracis (anthrax bacterium). Its description in RNAcentral is "tRNA-Gly (GCC) (tRNA-Gly-GCC-3-1)". It matches the Rfam family "tRNA". Rfam says of the family: Transfer RNA (tRNA) molecules are approximately 80 nucleotides in length. Their secondary structure includes four short double-helical elements and three loops (D, anti-codon, and T loops). The record is from RNAcentral. Lineage: Bacteria; Bacillati; Bacillota; Bacilli; Caryophanales; Bacillaceae.